Molecule: ribosomal RNA, 253 nt
Filed under: uncultured bacterium
Lineage: Bacteria
Description: partial 16S ribosomal RNA
Rfam family: Bacterial small subunit ribosomal RNA
Source: RNAcentral
GACAGAGGUCCCAAGCGUUAGGCGGAAUCACUGGGCUUAAAGCGUGUGUAGGCGGAGUGCUAAGUACCUUGUGAAAUCCCACGGCUCACCCGUGGAACUGCUUGGUAUACUGGUUGUCUUGAGCCAGCUAGGGGCGAGCGGAACAGACGGUGGAGCGGUGAAAUGCGUAGAUAUCGUCUGGAACGCCGAAGGUGAAAACAGCUCGCUGGGGCUGCGCUGACGCUGAGACACGAAAGCCAGGGGAGCGAACGGG